AGAGUUUGAUCAUGGCUCAGAUUGAACGCUGGCGGCAUGCCUUACACAUGCAAGUCGAACGGCAGCAUGAUCUAGCUUGCUAGAUUGAUGGCGAGUGGCGAACGGGUGAGUAAUACAUCGGAACGUGCCCUGUAGUGGGGGAUAACUAGUCGAAAGAUUAGCUAAUACCGCAUACGACCUGAGGGUGAAAGUGGGGGACCGCAAGGCCUCAUGCUAUAGGAGCGGCCGAUGUCUGAUUAGCUAGUUGGUGGGGUAAAGGCCCACCAAGGCGACGAUCAGUAGCUGGUCUGAGAGGACGAUCAGCCACACUGGGACUGAGACACGGCCCAGACUCCUACGGGAGGCAGCAGUGGGGAAUUUUGGACAAUGGGGGCAACCCUGAUCCAGCAAUGCCGCGUGUGUGAAGAAGGCCUUCGGGUUGUAAAGCACUUUUGUCCGGAAAGAAAUCGCUCUGGUUAAUACCUGGGGUGGAUGACGGUACCGGAAGAAUAAGGACCGGCUAACUACGUGCCAGCAGCCGCGGUAAUACGUAGGGUCCAAGCGUUAAUCGGAAUUACUGGGCGUAAAGCGUGCGCAGGCGGUUGUGCAAGACCGAUGUGAAAUCCCCGGGCUUAACCUGGGAAUUGCAUUGGUGACUGCACGGCUAGAGUGUGUCAGAGGGGGGUAGAAUUCCACGUGUAGCAGUGAAAUGCGUAGAGAUGUGGAGGAAUACCGAUGGCGAAGGCAGCCCCCUGGGAUAACACUGACGCUCAUGCACGAAAGCGUGGGGAGCAAACAGGAUUAGAUACCCGAGUAGUC
Molecule: ribosomal RNA, 798 nt
Filed under: Desulfopila sp. IMCC35006
Lineage: Bacteria; Pseudomonadati; Thermodesulfobacteriota; Desulfobulbia; Desulfobulbales; Desulfocapsaceae
Description: Bacterial small subunit ribosomal RNA
Rfam family: Bacterial small subunit ribosomal RNA
Source: Rfam by way of RNAcentral